ACUGGAACUGUUUCCUGUCUGGCCAGCUCAGAGCUUGGGUUUCUCCUUAGAUAGCCAUGAUCUAAAUGCCAUCUGUCUCUAUGCAUCUCUCAUGUCUAGCUCACAAGAUGGUUAAGAGGGGUUUCUAGAGAGAACUAAUCACAAAGUUUAGAGCUUCUUAGAUUCAAGAGUGUGAUUUCUCCUGCUAAAUCUGCAAAGAUGCAGCUGUAAAGCAUUAAUGGAGUACAAAUUUGCACCCAUCAUCAGACCAGGAGUUUCUGUUUCUACUCUGCACUGCGUAAACUGCUAUUUGUUACAUCCAAGUCUGAAGUAACGCUGAGAAGCUUCACAUCUGACUUGACUUGAAAAUGCUUUUAGCUAUUCUGAAAGCAAAAUCUACCAGCCUCCUGAGAUCUGUGUUAGUGUAAACCAAAGGCCGUGGAUGCUGCUGCUGCAAGUGACAGAAACAAAAUAUGUUUCGUUUCUGGUAUGUUUCACUAUAACAACUCCUAAAUUCAGGAGAACUUUGAAGUACUUCAAGAAUUCCUUCCCAUAGUUAUCUCACAACAGAAUCUGAAAAAGAGAAAGACAAAGGAAAUGCUAAGAAUAUUGACAGCAAGAAGGGGAAUGGUGGGAACCUGUGACUCGAGUGAGCAAGGUAUACAGAGUGGAUGUUCGUGCUACAAUAGUGGAAGACGACUACCAGCAGCAUAACUGAUUGUCACUGCUAGGGCUUCACUGUGCUGUAAAAAGAGGUGCUCAAUCUUUUCAAAUGUCAGCAUGUUAAAUUGACAAUAUCCAGCAAUAUGCAAUUAAGGUUUUUGCGAAAUUUCCCCAGCAUGAUUUCAUCUACCAAUGGGGCUCCCUAAUUUUUUAAUGCUCAUCUGUAUUUGAUAAAUCAUGAAAUUCUGAAUUUAGGGGAAAAAAAUUACCAACACCUACCUUUUUCAGCCCAUCUCUAAUAUUCUCAAACACAGCCAGAAAGUAAGAACGUACCUGAAAUCUCUCAGGGAAACUGCUCCUUGAAAAUUCUACAAAAGGAUGCCACAGAGUACACAAAAUUACAAUCUGGCCACAGAUAGGGAAGUGUGUCUACGUAGUGAUCAAAAGCACUGUCACUGUGACAUGGAAUAAGGAACUAACUAUAUUCACAGCUUCCUCUGUGAUCGGAAUAUAUCAUAACCUUUCGAUUAUUUACCUUUGCGGUUCUCCUGGAAGGGCAGCAAUCUACAUUUUACAGAUGGGGAAACCAGACAGCGAUCGAGCUAAAGUCCUAAAUGAGUGCCCUUAGCACAGUGCCUUCUGAGCACUAAGGCUGCACCCUAAGCACUGAAGCAUCCAGCAUCCGACCUCAGUAUUAAUGGCCUGCUGAGUCUUUGUUCUGACUCCAUCAAUUCAAUGGCCAUUUAAUAAUGUUCUGUUUCUGUAACGUGGAUACAUGUCUACUGGGAACUGGACUGCAACCAAAUCAUCUUAUGCAGACCCUGCACAUCCAUCAACUACUCUAGGAGUGCCUCACUCUGACUAGCUAUAAACCAAAGAAAAAUUCUACAAUUAAGAAUAAUUCUAAUUAAGAUGAGUGACCAAAGUAUUGAAACCCGCCCACUUAAAUUAGGUUGAAAAAUUCACUUUGCACACCCCUCAGUUUUUUUUCUAUAAAAACUUUUGCUAUGCAUAACAAUGACUAAUUGUUACUGAAACCAACUGGAACUGUAUGUGCAGCCUGUUUUUAAAAAAUUAUCUCAGGUGCAUCUAUUCCAAAUGAAUGGGUCACUUGGCCUAUCAGUUAUGUGACCAUGGGGAAAAUGUACAUUUGGGCAUGUAUGGAGAUCUGGUGUGUGCAGGGAAGUGCUGAGGAAAUAGAGAGAAAGACAGGAGCCACUCUAAUUACAGCUCUUUAACUUUGUGUGUCUGAUGCACUUUGUAACACUACAUAGGACAGCUCCUCUCAGCACCUCAAGAUUAAUGAAUAACAGGAACAGUUUCCCACUUCCAACACGUUGUGUUAUAGAUCACAAUGUUGAGUCUGGGAAUGUCCCUAGAUAGGUAUGACAGGCUGCAUAUUUAGUUGCUCCUCUUGAUAGUUUUUGCAUCUUCGAGAGCAAAUAUAUUGUGCGUGGCAGGAGAAAAAUCAAGUCUUCUGGCAAGACAUGCCCAUUUCAUUCCAUCAAUGGAGGCAAUUUAAUCAAGAAUGUGGGCCAUUUGUUGCAAUAUACAUCUUCUCAGGGGCGCUUUCUGGAGUACAGUCCCAUUAAAUCUCUCUUUGAGUCCCUGCCUCUCUAACUUUGUGACUAUUCUCUUCUUGUGACCACAGUUUAGUGCAGAUAGAGAAGAGAGAGGAUAAAACUAGAGAAAAGCUGAAUCUAAAAGAAAAAAAAAAUCUGGAUAAGAUGAAGAAAAAUGU
Long non-coding RNA from Dromaius novaehollandiae (emu), 2383 nucleotides. RefSeq lists it as uncharacterized. NCBI's taxonomy places the organism in Eukaryota, Metazoa, Chordata, Aves, Casuariiformes, Dromaiidae. The transcript is spliced from 3 exons. The record is from RefSeq and is a predicted model, not a curated record.